UGAUUUGAGAUGGCCUCUCGCCCUAUUCAGUGUAACAGCUGUGGUAGUGGGUUUGGUCGCUCGCAUUUAAAUUGGAAGGGUAAUGGUGGACCGCACUUCUCCCUUAGUAGGACGUUGCGACCUGUCAAAUAAUAUCCUAAGUAUUUGGCUAAUUUGUCUGUUUUUAGGCAGUACUGAAAGGUAUUUCCUUUAACAGUUUUAGCCGUUUACAUACUGGAUAUAAUUGACAGUAACGAAUCAUGGUGUUGAGCCACUUA
Molecule: ribosomal RNA, 257 nt
Filed under: Triatoma rubrovaria
Lineage: Eukaryota; Metazoa; Arthropoda; Insecta; Hemiptera; Reduviidae
Description: partial 28S ribosomal RNA
Source: RNAcentral